AAAAAGGAGGUUAGAGCGUGAAUAUGGAAAUGGAUGUGCCAAUGAGCUAGUCUUAUUUCAUGGUACAACACCAGAUAAACUGGAUGUCAUUGCUGAACAAAAUUUAGACCCACGACUUGCUGGAGGUCGUGUAGGUGCAUUGUUUGGUAGAGGUACUUACUUUGCCACAGAUGCUAAAUAUUCUGAUUUGUAUGCCCAAGCUGAUCAAGAUGGACAUAAAUUCAUGUUUCUUGUGAAGGUGUUAGCAGGGAAGACUUGUAUUGGCAGACCAGAGUAUUUAAGACCACCACCUCAAGAUACCAAGAAUCCAAACAGUCCAUUGUUUGAUAGCUGUGUUGACAAUGAGAAGAACCCUAGAAUAUAUUGUGCUUUCCAUGACACUCAAUAUUACCCAGAACACCUUAUUGAAUACACAUAAACUUUUAUAACCUUUUAUGGAAAUGAUGUUUUGCUUUUCCUCAGUUUUGUAAACAUUGCAGAAAUGCAUAACUUUAACCUUAACAAGAUUUGCAGCUUUAAUGUUGUUAAGGUGGCUGAACUAUAUAUGUGCUGAGAUGUCUUGUGAUGUCAGCUUUUUAUAUAUAUAAUUUUGACUAAUUGUCAUACAUGUAUGAUAGUAGUUUUUGGAUGUUAUUUAUUUAUCACAAUUGCAUAUACUGUGGAUUCAUUGUUUUUUGUUGGGUGCCAAUUUGUUUGGGGUUUCAUGUGUACAGGUAAACCAUGAAUUAAAAUAUUCAACCAAUUACUAAUUUUCUAUAGGCUUUUAUGCAGAGAUUGGUAAAACCUCGAAUAUGGAAAAUCUGUGGAAAUGCAUGUUUUCUUCAAUCCACGAAAAGAAAUGAAUCUCCAGUAGUAAAGGUAUAUAUGGUUAUCACUGUUGAACAAAUAUCAUACACUGGCUGGACAUGAUGGAAAAGAUGUCUAAAUCCACAGUAGUAAAGGUAUAUGUGGUUAUCACUGUUGAACAAAUAUCUGGAUGAACAUGAUGGAAAAGAUGUCUAGAUAUUGUUUGUGUUAGUCACUGUGUAGUUUGAAAAAUGACAAUGUUUUCUUGUGUAAUCACUUCAAACAAUUUUCCUUUUUAUGGUCAAAUGAAAGCAAUUACAUUUUACAUGUUUAUUGAAUUUUCUGAUAUAUAUUUUUAACUUCUUCAACCUUUUAGUAAACAUUCUUUUUUACCUAGUUAUGGAAGUACACCACUAAUUCAUGGACUAUUGCUUUUCUUUGUUUCAAGCAGACACAACUCUUUUGUUUUAAGUUGGAAAAAAGUAACCAUCAUUGCAUGUCAAAGCAACACAUUAUGGUGUCUUGUAUUGAAAAAAAAUCAACAUACCUUUUUAAUAAUGUCAUAUAAAAAAAAUGGUUCCCGCAACUUAUGAUGCAUGAAAACAGGUACUUCAGAUCUGACACACAGGCAAAAUGUACCCAUUUGAUUCCAAAAAUACUUUAAUGUUCUACAUAUUUUUAAAUAUUUUGUGUAGGAAAUAUUUUGUGUUAAAUAUAUACUCCUUUCUGACUGGGCCUUAAUUAGUGGUGUUACACCUUAUGCAGCUAAAUAGAGACAACUUGGUUAAUAAUAAUUCAUUAUUUGUAUGAUAUAAUUACUUUUUUGUUAGUCUAAUCUAUCAUUUCAGUUAAAAGUGUUGAUAGGCAAACUUUGUUACAGCU
RNAcentral lists this long non-coding RNA (1668 nucleotides) under Mytilus galloprovincialis (Mediterranean mussel). Lineage: Eukaryota; Metazoa; Mollusca; Bivalvia; Mytilida; Mytilidae. The record is from RNAcentral.